UGGGGAAUUUUCCGCAAUGGGCGCAAGCCUGACGGAGCAACGCCGCGUGAGGGAGGAAGGCCUGUGGGUUGUAAACCUCUUUUCUCUGGGAAGAAGAUCUGACGGUACCAGAGGAAUCAGCAUCGGCUAACUCCGUGCCAGCAGCCGCGGUAAGACGGAGGAUGCAAGCGUUAUCCGGAAUUAUUGGGCGUAAAGCGUCCGCAGGCGGCCAAUUAAGUCUGCUGUCAAAGCCUGGGGCUCAACCCCAGAUCGGCAGUGGAAACUGGUUGGCUAGAGUACGGCAGGGGUAGAGGGAAUUCCCAGUGUAGCGGUGAAAUGCGUAGAUAUUGGGAAGAACACCAGUGGCGAAGGCGCUCUACUGGGCCGAAACUGACGCUGAGGGACGAAAGCUAGGGGAGCGAAAGGGAUUAGAUACCCCCGUAGUCC
Molecule: ribosomal RNA, 426 nt
Filed under: uncultured prokaryote
Description: bacterial SSU rRNA
Rfam family: Bacterial small subunit ribosomal RNA
Source: RNAcentral